This 487-nucleotide ribosomal RNA is filed under the name uncultured bacterium. Its description in RNAcentral is "bacterial SSU rRNA". It matches the Rfam family "Bacterial small subunit ribosomal RNA", at positions 28 to 514 of the family's 1533-position model. The record is from RNAcentral.
GAUGAACGCUAGCGGCAGGCUUAACACAUGCAAGUCGAGGGGUAUUGGUUUUCGGACCAAGAGACCGGCGCACGGGUGCGUAACGCGUAUGCAAUCUACCUUUUGCAGAGGGAUAGCCCCAGAGAAAUUUGGAUUAAUACCUCAUAGUAUAGUACUUUGGCAUCAAGGAACUAUUAAAGUCACAACGGCAAAAGAUGAGCAUGCGUCCCAUUAGCUAGUUGGUAAGGUAACGGCUUACCAAGGCUACGAUGGGUAGGGGUUCUGAGAGGGAGAUCCCCCACACUGGUACUGAGACACGGACCAGACUCCUACGGGAGGCAGCAGUGAGGAAUAUUGGACAAUGGGCGCAAGCCUGAUCUAGCCAUGCCGCGUGCAGGAUGACGGUCCUAUGGAUUGUAAACUGCUUUUAUACAGGAAGAAACACUCCGACGUGUCGGAGCUUGACGGUACUGUAAGAAUAAGGGAUCGGCUAACUCCGUGCCAGCAG